RNAcentral lists this small nuclear RNA (103 nucleotides) under Notamacropus eugenii (tammar wallaby). The record is from RNAcentral. Lineage: Eukaryota; Metazoa; Chordata; Mammalia; Diprotodontia; Macropodidae.
GUGCUACUUCAGCAGCACAUACAUUAAAAUUGCAACAAUUCAGAGAUUAACAUGGCCCCUGUGCAAGGAUGAUACAUAAAGUUGUGAAAUGUUCCAUAUGUUU